This is a non-coding RNA of Moraxella bovis, 97 nucleotides long. NCBI's taxonomy places the organism in Bacteria, Pseudomonadati, Pseudomonadota, Gammaproteobacteria, Moraxellales, Moraxellaceae. The record is from Rfam.
CAUCGGUAGCUUCGCAACUUUGAUUUAUGAACCCCGCCAGGACCGGAAGGUAGCAACGGUAAUAAUCCCAAAGUGUGCCGAAGGUGUGCUGAUGAAG